Molecule: unclassified non-coding RNA, 190 nt
Filed under: uncultured Glomeromycetes
Lineage: Eukaryota; Fungi; Glomeromycota; Glomeromycetes
Description: sequence contains ITS2
Source: RNAcentral
UAAAUAACAAUCGGUAUGUUGCUUUUGUGACAUCUCGGAGUUGGGUCAUCUUAAUUUUCUUAAGGGAUCUAAAAUUAAAGUACUUGCGUAUUUCGACGUGUAUAAUUUUUUUUUAUCUCGUCACCGAAUGCCAUGUUUUAUUAGGUGUGACCAUGUUAAGUGGUUUCAUGCUUAUAGGAUACUCUUGAUU